GGAUGUGUGUCCCUAUCUCUCAGGUACCUGGGGUUCUUUGCCAGGAGGAGAGAAGAGGUUCCUGCCUCUGUUUUUGUGGCCUUAACAAACCAGGUGUUGUGCUCCAGUUCUCGUCUGAGAUCCCUGAAGAAGAACAUCUUCCCACCCUUCAACAAGACAGGACCUAUCUUUAAAAGGGAACAAAGAGAACUCUGAGACUUACUAGCUCGCCUCACUUCCAUAGCUGGAGAGAUACUGGAGUACAUUCUUAAACUAUCAGUUUGUCAGCAGCACCAACAGGAUAGUUUGGUUCUUAGGACUAGUGAGCAUGGAUUUGUCAAGAACAAAUCAUUCCAAACCAAUCCUCUUUCCUUCUUCGGCAGGGUUCCGGGCCUAGUGAAGCCAGCUGAUCGCCCAGUGUCAUCACCCUGCCUGCUGGCUGGGCAGGGUAACUCCUCAGGUCACCACCCUCCUCUCCAGCCUGUCUUGGGCUUGGAGAGUGAGGAGAAGGGCGAGGGAUGACAUUGAACAUCCUCCAUCCAUCGCUUCAUCACCAGAGCAAGAUGGCCAGGCUCCUGAGGAUGUUCAGGAAGAAGGCUCUGCAGGCGGCCCCAGAGCCUGUGGAAAGCAGCUGCCAUCUUCCCCAGGAGCCGAGCGGCCCAACCCUCCCCAAUGGCGGGGAAGGAGCUCGCGGCCGGGCCAGGAGGUGGAAGUGCCCAGCCUUCUGGAAGAGGAAACCUGCUCCCGGUGCAGGCGCCGAGGUGGGAGAGGCACCGUCAAGGCCAAAAUGGAGCUGGGCCAGGAUGCAGC
Gopherus flavomarginatus (Mexican gopher tortoise) is the source of this 789-nucleotide long non-coding RNA. RefSeq lists it as uncharacterized. The record is from RefSeq and is a predicted model, not a curated record. The transcript is spliced from 3 exons. Lineage: Eukaryota; Metazoa; Chordata; Testudines; Testudinidae.